CUUACGUUUUGCACAUUUAUGGGAAAAAAGUGUUAACGUUAGAGCGUUUUAGCUGUAAAAUCUCAGUCUGUGGACACGUGUAAAUUAGCUGGUGCCAUUUUGUAUCUUCUUCUGAAUCAUGGUCUCUAUCCGUUUCGUAUAAAGGAACAAAGAUACCAGAAUUGCAAUGGUUAGUUCAACUGAUUUAAUGUCUUUUAAAGAUGGUAAACAUACAGGACGCUAACUGAAGUUGGUACAUGGUUUUCGGGCCUAGGGAAAACAUUUCUACCGUCACACAGGUCAGCAGCACUGGAAAUGCCUCGUUGCUACCAUGCUGGCUAACUUUAAUGCUAACUUUACAUUUGUAGUUUAUACAAAUUAGAAUUGUCCUAAUGUCCCCGAAAUCGUGGGAAUGUUGUUUUCUUCCAUAUACCAGACAACACCUAAUGUCUACUGGUUUUGCUUGUUUAUUGUACGAUGAUUUGUUUGUUUUUAUCAGGUCAUUAAAACGGUUGAACAGUUGACAAAAUGGUAUAUAAAUACUACGUGACCCAAAUAAAUAAUUGUCGCCGCAUCUUUGACAGCCUGGGCUCUCUGUUGUGAGAUACCCUGGCUUUUAAGUAUUUCAGAUGCUAAAUUAAAUAUCCCUGCACUUUCUCUGCUCGUCUUUCCAUGGCGUCUCAGUUUGAAUCAGGGAGGAUAAAUCAUUUGGUGUCAUUUAAAAAAAUAAAAUAAUGGGAAUGAACCAGUAGCUGCCGAUCACCUAAUUGUUCAGUAAGCGGCAGACACAAUACUGUAAGAUCCUGAAUGUAAUGGGUUUUCUCCCUUUUUCAGUUGCAAGAUGUAUGCUUAAAUGACAAGCCAUGACAAAACUACAGGACUCCAGGAUCUCUGGAUCCUAUGCCUUUUGAGGGAUCCCUGUGUGAGGCGGAUGCAGGAUGAUGGCUGUGUCAGCUGCUGCAGAAUCUCCAGAGAUGACUGCUGCUGAAACACCACACUCUGCCAGGCAGUGGAACCACAGGAGUUAAUGCAUCCUGACAAAGGAGCUCCAACAAGAAGACUGCUGCCCUCUGCAUCCAGUCAUUCUCCUGGGUAAGCGUUGGGAGAUGAAACUUGAGAGAAGAUGUCCCAGCUGUGAUGUUCACUGUUUGCAGUCUUUGUCCGACACAAUACUUUGCAGUCUCCUGGGUUAACGUUGGGAGAUGAAACGUGAGAGAAGAUGUCCCAGCUGUGAUGUUCACUGUUGAGCAGUCUUUGGCCGACAGGUGACAGGCGGCACUGCGAAGGAGAUGGCUCAUUUUCCUGAUGGAAAAACAAAUGUGCUUUUAUUUUUAUAAAUAGACUCUUUUCAUUUUAGUUUGCUGCGUCUGACUGGCAACAUUUCACAUGCACAUGGUACAUCCAGGCAGAAUGCAUCAGCUGUACAUGACAUGUAAAACGUAAUCCUGAAAAUAAAACUAUUCGACUACA
Gymnodraco acuticeps is the source of this 1449-nucleotide long non-coding RNA. RefSeq lists it as uncharacterized. The transcript has 5 exons. The record is from RefSeq and is a predicted model, not a curated record. NCBI's taxonomy places the organism in Eukaryota, Metazoa, Chordata, Actinopteri, Perciformes, Bathydraconidae.